This 274-nucleotide ribosomal RNA is filed under the name uncultured bacterium. RNAcentral's name for it is "partial 16S ribosomal RNA". It matches the Rfam family "Bacterial small subunit ribosomal RNA", at positions 523 to 796 of the family's 1533-position model. The record is from RNAcentral.
AUACGGAGGGAGCAAGCGUUGUUCGGAAUUAUUGGGCGUAAAGCGGGUGUAGGCGGCUCGGCAAGUCGGGUGUGAAAGCCCAGGGCCCAACCCUGGAACUGCACUCGAAACUGCUGAGCUAGAGUCCCGGAGAGGGUGGCGGAAUUCCCGGUGUAGAGGUGAAAUUCGUAGAUAUCAGGAGGAACACCAGUGGCGAAGGCGGCCACCUGGACGGUGACUGACGCUCAGACCCGAAAGCGUGGGGAGCAAACGGGAUUAGAAACCCCAGUAGUCC